This 285-nucleotide unclassified non-coding RNA is filed under the name uncultured fungus. RNAcentral's name for it is "partial contains small subunit ribosomal RNA, internal transcribed spacer 1, and 5.8S ribosomal RNA". The stretch from base 1 to 73 matches the Rfam family "Eukaryotic small subunit ribosomal RNA", at positions 1759 to 1831 of the family's 1831-position model. Lineage: Eukaryota; Fungi. The record is from RNAcentral.
CCAAACUUGGUCAUUUAGAGGAAGUAAAAGUCGUAACAAGGUUUCCGUAGGUGAACCUGCGGAAGGAUCAUUAACAAAAUUGUUAUCCAUAUUCACCUUGUGUGCAAUUUUGCAUAAAAAUUAAUAAUGUCUUUUGGAAAAAUUAUUUUAUAGUAAUUUUUCCAAAGAGGUUAUUAUAAUCAAUAAAUUUUUUCUUUUCUUUAUUUAUGUCUAAAUCUAUAUAUAAAAUAAGAAAUAACUUUCAACAACGGAUCUCUUGGCUCUCGCAUCGAUGAAGAACGCAGC